GGAAGUAAAAGUCGUAACAAGGUCUCCGUUGGUGAACCAGCGGAGGGAUCAUUACCGAGUUUACAACUCCCAAACCCAUGUGAACAUACCUACUGUUGCUUCGGCGGGAUUGCCCCGGGCGCCUCGUGUGCCCCGGAUCAGGCGCCCGCCUAGGAAACUUAACUCUUGUUUUAUUUUGGAAUCUUCUGAGUAGUUUUUACAAAUAAAUAAAAACUUUCAACAACGGAUCUCUUGGUUCUGGCAUCGAUGAAGAACGCAGCGAAAUGCGAUAAGUAAUGUGAAUUGCAGAAUUCAGUGAAUCAUCGAAUCUUUGAACGCACAUUGCGCCCGCCAGUAUUCUGGCGGGCAUGCCUGUCUGAGCGUCAUUUCAACCCUCAUGCCCCUAGGGCGUGGUGUUGGGGAUCGGCCAAAGCCCGCGAGGGACGGCCGGCCCCUAAAUCUAGUGGCGGACCCGUCGUGGCCUCCUCUGCGAAGUAGUGAUAUUCCGCAUCGGAGAGCGACGAGCCCCUGCCGUUAAACCCCCAACUUUCCAAGGUUGACCUCAGAUCAGGUAGGAAUACCCGCUGAACUUAAGCAUAUCAAUAAGCGGAGGA
This 593-nucleotide ribosomal RNA is filed under the name Clonostachys rosea. Its description in RNAcentral is "eukaryotic LSU rRNA". The stretch from base 212 to 365 matches the Rfam family "5.8S ribosomal RNA". The record is from RNAcentral. RNAcentral also lists the same sequence under 2 other names. Lineage: Eukaryota; Fungi; Ascomycota; Sordariomycetes; Hypocreales; Bionectriaceae.